This 468-nucleotide ribosomal RNA is filed under the name uncultured bacterium. RNAcentral's name for it is "partial 16S ribosomal RNA". It matches the Rfam family "Bacterial small subunit ribosomal RNA", at positions 28 to 507 of the family's 1533-position model. The record is from RNAcentral.
GACGAACGCUGGCGGCGUGCUUAACACAUGCAAGUCGAACGGAAAGGCCCUGCUUUUGUGGGGUGCUCUAGUUGCGAACGGGUGAGUAACACGUGAGUAACCUGCCCUUGACUUUGGGAUAACUUCAGGAAACUGGGGCUAAUACCGGAUAGGAGCUCCUGCUGCAUGGUGGGGGUUGGAAAGUUUCGGCGGUUGGGGAUGGACUCGCGGCUUAUCAGCUUGUUGGUGGGGUAGUGGCUUACCAAGGCUUUGCCGGGUAGCCGGCCUGAGAGGGUGACCGGCACCAUUGGGACUGAGAUAAGGCCCAGACUCCUACGGGAGGCAGUGGUGGGGAAUAGUGCACAAUGGGCGGAAGCCUGAUGCAGCAAUGCCGCGUGCGGGAUGACGGCCUUCGGGUUGUAAACCGCUUUCGCAUGUGACGAAGCGUGAGUGACGGUAAUGGGUAAAGAAGCACCGGCUAACUCCGUG